AUUGAGUACAUAAUCAAGUGAAAAGGGAUACUUUCGAAAAAGCUACAUCAUCCUAUCUGAAAAUCACCACCCCCUCCCCAAAACACAUAUGGGGGGAGAAAAGGUGAAAUCAGAUGAUAAAAAAUAACAAGUCUAUAACACAACUAUAUCACGGAACGAACGAUCACGACAGAACCACCAGAUACAUAGUAGUUAACUUGAAAUAUAAAGAGUCAAACUCACCCAUUGCAAGUAUAAAACCCAGAUUGACACCUUUGUGAUGGCAUUGAGGUAUUACCUUUGCGAUAAUUCUCAUGCUCAACUCAGUGAGCAGUAUUCUCUCAUAAAACUGUUGGUUUGAUUUGAGUACACAUCUUUCUUCAUGUGAGGUUGUCAGGAAAAGAUCAGAUGCGUUUUUGGUUCCAUAUCUCAUGCUUUCCAAACUCGGACUGUGCUAUCUACAGAAGAAGUUAUCAUGCAGUUUUCUUUUGGGUGAUAACUUACGCUAGUUACCACUAAAUCAUGCGCUCGGAAGCUGGAUACAACUGACGCAUCGACCAGAUCCCAGAAGUAGAUAUAGCCAUCUUCUGAGCCGCCAGCAACAUGGGCAUCACUGUUUGUAAGACAGCAGUCCGUUUUGAAAGACUUGCAAAUAUGGCCCUUAUAUUCUUGCAAUAGUUCACCACUAGACCUGUCCAGAAGUCGAAGGGUUGAAUCCAGGCAACUUGCUAAUAUACAGUUGCCAUCAUUUGAAAGAGAGAUACAGUUGACAGGCUGACCCAAAUUAUCAGAUAUCUCUCUACCAACUCUGAUGUCAAAUGUUCGAACUGUUCCAUCAACACUUCCAGCAAUUAUCUCAGUUUUUGUGAGACAAAUUGACAUCACACUAUCUAGAAA
This 876-nucleotide unclassified non-coding RNA is filed under the name Hevea brasiliensis (rubber tree). The record is from RNAcentral. Lineage: Eukaryota; Viridiplantae; Streptophyta; Magnoliopsida; Malpighiales; Euphorbiaceae.